AGCAGUGUGGCUUAGUGGCAAUAGCACGGGCUUGGAAUGUCAGAGGACAUGGGUUCUAAUCCCGGCUCUGCCA
RNAcentral lists this transfer RNA (73 nucleotides) under Ornithorhynchus anatinus (platypus). It matches the Rfam family "tRNA". From Rfam's summary of the family: Transfer RNA (tRNA) molecules are approximately 80 nucleotides in length. Their secondary structure includes four short double-helical elements and three loops (D, anti-codon, and T loops). Lineage: Eukaryota; Metazoa; Chordata; Mammalia; Monotremata; Ornithorhynchidae. The record is from Rfam by way of RNAcentral.